Molecule: long non-coding RNA, 210 nt
Filed under: Musa acuminata (dwarf banana)
Lineage: Eukaryota; Viridiplantae; Streptophyta; Magnoliopsida; Zingiberales; Musaceae
Description: long non-coding RNA (MACU_LNC010073)
Source: RNAcentral
GUAUUUAUAGGCCCUAAGAGGAUUCAAAUUUGGGCUCCAAAAUUUGAAUUCUCUUAAGUUCCCGAGGCUGGCAACGGUCUAGCGGUGCCACCGCUCAAUCCGGCGGUGCCACCGCCUGGCUCUCGGCUGUUGGGCGGUGCCACCGCCCAAUCUGGCGGUUCCACCGCCUAGCUCUCGGGUGCUAGGCGGUGCCACCGCCUAGGCUUUUUC